This 875-nucleotide transfer RNA is filed under the name Bradyrhizobium sp. 11LoS12_29. Its description in RNAcentral is "16S-23S ribosomal RNA intergenic spacer". The stretch from base 229 to 302 matches the Rfam family "tRNA". Lineage: Bacteria; Pseudomonadati; Pseudomonadota; Alphaproteobacteria; Hyphomicrobiales; Nitrobacteraceae. The record is from RNAcentral.
CUAAGGAUGAUCCUUCAGAUAGCUUGCUAUCUAUCGGAUCGUUUUAGAAACAUCAGUGGCCAACAAUCGUCAGGAUUGUUGAGCUGCAUUGGCGGGAUUUCGCCGUCUUCGUUUCUCUUUCUUCGCGGACGAACACGCGCCAGGGGCUUAGCGCUGUGCGAAGGUUUGGCGCUUGUGCGAUGCAUUGGCGUGAGCCGAUUGCGCGCGAGCUUAAGUCCCUCGUGUUAGGGGCUUGUAGCUCAGUUGGUUAGAGCGCGCGCUUGAUAAGCGUGAGGUCGGAAGUUCAAGUCUUCCCAGGCCCACCACGCUUCGCCGUUGGCUACGCGUGGCGCAGCCACGCGACAUGACAAAGCGAAGCGUGCCCGGCAUAGCCCAAAGGGCGACGACGGGCCUAAGGGAGCAUUCGUCUUCUGGUACGGGGCCAUAGCUCAGCUGGGAGAGCGCGUGCUUUGCAAGCAUGAGGUCGUCGGUUCGAUCCCGUCUGGCUCCACCAGAUGAAAUCGAAGAUCGAGAGUGCCUCGAAUAAUCGUCCGCGAAACAUCACUUCGCAUGCAUUGUCCGGAUGGGCAGUGACAUGCGUGAUAUCUGACAUCGUAAAGAGGAGAUCGAUCCGAGUUUGGGAUCUGCAAAGCAAUUUGCGGAAUCUCACUCAUAAUCUCCAGGUCAUUUCGGCGCUCGCUCAUCGCAAGAUGAUCGGGUUGUAAAUGAUCUUUUUAGCGAAGCUUGACCGCCUCGCUAUCGGUUCGAUCUUACGAAGCAAGCUGGUCUUUCUAAUCAGUGUCCGGCUGCGCAUAGCACUCAUCGAGGGUGCGUGCCUUCACAGGCAAUUGCGCAGACAACAUUCUGCCGAGUGUGUGGACAUUGAUAAUGAGAGC